This 1422-nucleotide ribosomal RNA is filed under the name metagenome. RNAcentral's name for it is "bacterial LSU rRNA". It matches the Rfam family "Bacterial large subunit ribosomal RNA", at positions 1495 to 2925 of the family's 2925-position model. The record is from RNAcentral.
UUUGGGGAAAUGUGUGUCCAAGCAGCAAGUCUGAGAACGAGUGAAAUGCUUUUUCUCUCAAGGACAAGCUGUGAUGGGGAGCGAAAUUUAGUAGCGAAGUUCCUGAUGUCACACUGCCAAGAAAAGCUUCUAGUGAGAAAGUAACUGCCCGUACCGCAAACCGACACAGGUAGUUGAGGAGAGAAUCCUAAGGUGUGCGAGAGAACUCUCGUUAAGGAACUCGGCAAAAUGACCCCGUAACUUCGGGAGAAGGGGUGCUGACCGCAAGGUCAGCCGCAGUGAAUAGGCCCAAGCGACUGUUUAUCAAAAACACAGGUCUCUGCAAAAUCGAAAGAUGACGUAUAGGGGCUGACGCCUGCCCGGUGCUGGAAGGUUAAGAGGAGAGGUUAGCGCAAGCGAAGCUUUGAAUUGAAGCCCCAGUAAACGGCGGCCGUAACAAUAACGGUCCUAAGGUAGCGAAAUUCCUUGUCGGGUAAGUUCCGACCCGCACGAAAGGCGUAACGAUUUGGGCACUGUCUCAACGAGAGACUCGGUGAAAUUAUAGUACCAGUGAAGAUGCUGGUUACCCGCGACAGGACGGAAAGACCCCAUGGAGCUUUACUGCAGUUUGAUAUUGCGUGUUUGUAUCACAUGUACAGGAUAGGUAGGAGCCGAAGAUACCGGGACGCCAGUCUCGGAGGAGGCAACGGUGGGAUACUACCCUUGUGAUAUGACCACUCUAACCCGCUGCUCUUAGCGAGCAGGGAGACAGUGUCAGACGGGCAGUUUGACUGGGGCGGUCGCCUCCAAAAAUGUAACGGAGGCGCCCAAAGGUUCCCUCAGAAUGGUUGGAAAUCAUUCGUAGAGUGUAAAGGCAGAAGGGAGCUUGACUGCGAGACCUACAAGUCGAGCAGGGACGAAAGUCGGGCUUAGUGAUCCGGUGGUUCCGCAUGGAAGGGCCAUCGCUCAACGGAUAAAAGCUACCCUGGGGAUAACAGGCUUAUCUCCCCCAAGAGUUCACAUCGACGGGGAGGUUUGGCGCCUCGAUGUCGGCUCAUCGCAUCCUGGGGCUGUAGUCGGUCCCAAGGGUUGGGCUGUUCGCCCAUUAAAGCGGUACGCGAGCUGGGUUCAGAACGUCGUGAGACAGUUCGGUCCCUAUCCGUCGCGGGCGUUGGAAAUUUGAGAGGAGCUGUCCUUAGUACGAGAGGACCGGGAUGGACACACCGCUGGUGUACCAGUUGUUCUGCCAAGAGCAUCGCUGGGUAGCUAUGUGUGGACGGGAUAAACGCUGAAAGCAUCUAAGCGUGAAGCCCCCCUCAAGAUGAGAUUUCCCAUCACUUUAAGUGAGUAAGACCCCUGAGAGAUGAUCAGGUAGAUAGGUUGGGAGUGGAAGUACAGCGAUGUAUGGAGCGGACCAAUACUAAUCGGUCGAGGACUUAAUCA